Molecule: ribosomal RNA, 468 nt
Filed under: uncultured bacterium
Lineage: Bacteria
Description: partial 16S ribosomal RNA
Rfam family: Bacterial small subunit ribosomal RNA
Source: RNAcentral
GACGAACGCUGGCGGCGUGCUUAACACAUGCAAGUCGAACGGAAAGGCCCUGCUUUUGUGGGGUGCUCGAGUGGCGAACGGGUGAGUAACACGUGAGUAACCUGCCCUUGACUUUGGGAUAACUUCAGGAAACUGGGGCUAAUACCGGAUAGGAGCUCCUGCUGCAUGGUGGGGGUUGGAAAGUUUCGGCGGUUGGGGAUGGACUCGCGGCUUAUCAGCUUGUUGGUGGGGUAGUGGCUUACCAAGGCUUUGACGGGUAGCCGGCCUGAGAGGGUGACCGGCCACAUUGGGACUGAGAUACGGCCCAGACUCCUACGGGAGGCAGCAGUGGGGAAUAUUGCACAAUGGGCGGAAGCCUGAUGAAGAAAAGCGGCGUGCGGGAUGACGGCCUUCGGGUUGUAAACCGCUUUCGCCUGUGACGAAGCGUGAGUGACGGUAAUGGGUAAAGAAGCACCGGCUAACUACGUG